CCCUAUUCAGCGGCAGGCAUUCGAUUAAGUCUGCUGUCUGUUCUCUGCCAACUGGUUGGUAUGUUUAAUAUGUUAUUGCAUAAUACAGUAGAUUUUAUUUUGGUGAAACUACAUGAAUUCGUAUUUUUCCUUGUUUUGAGCUUUAUGGGAAUUUGGAUGGACUCACCAAGGGACAUUUAGCAAUUGUAAGUGUAAAUUUAUUUAAUGCAGCUUUGUUCUGAUUUUGCUGCAAAACUGCUGGGGAAACAUCGCUUUAUCUACAGGUACAAGAUGGCACGUUGCAUGUAUUAG
Pelobates cultripes (western spadefoot toad) is the source of this 291-nucleotide non-coding RNA. The record is from the annotation of a GenBank genome assembly. NCBI's taxonomy places the organism in Eukaryota, Metazoa, Chordata, Amphibia, Anura, Pelobatidae.